RNAcentral lists this long non-coding RNA (515 nucleotides) under Anas platyrhynchos (mallard). RNAcentral describes it as "lncRNA (ENSAPLG00020008960.1)". Lineage: Eukaryota; Metazoa; Chordata; Aves; Anseriformes; Anatidae. The record is from RNAcentral.
CAGGGGGACGGCGGCGACGCAUGCGCAGAGCCGCGCGGGGCGGGCGGCCUGGUGAGGGGGCGGCGGCGGCCUUUUGGGGGGGGGGUCCCGGACCGGGGUGGGACCGGGGGGAGCGUCCCGGCCCCUCACGACCCCUCCUGGACCCUCCUGCGGGGCAGAGCGGGGGCCGCUUCCCCCCUUCCUGCCCCCACCCCACAGCGCGGGGGCCCCAGAGCCCGCCCAGGGCCCGCCCCGGGCCCGUCGGCGGGAGCCGGAGCCGGGAGGGGCUCGGCCGGGGCCUCCCUGGGGCCUGCCCCGUGUCAGCGCCUCAGCCGGCCCGCGGGGUCCUCGGGAGAACGGUCCGGGCUUUUCCUUUCCUCCAUGAAACGCGGUCAUGGCAGAGCCGGAGUACGUGCUUUGCAAGCGGAGGGAGCGUUUGUGGCCAGCGAAGGUUUUGUGCAAAAGUGGAGACGCUGGAAAAUCAUCUAUCGCUAAUGCAGAGGAAGCUUCUUUGGAAGUUGAAAUAUUUGGCUUAA